CCUCCCUCCCAUUUACAGUCUCCGAACCUUCUUCUCUCUGCCUCAUCCCUACGUCCCAUCGCCACCUCCGAGAGGAGCGACGGUGGUCAUGCCAGGAGCGGCAGCGGGCUUGCGAGAGGAAGUCCCUCCUUGUCGAGAUCACCAAGCUGAAGCUUCGAGUUCAGGCCCUACGGCACGGAAUUCAGAUUCCGAAAGGCGAUCUGGGGGAGGUGGCGAACGUGGCUACACUGUUGCAGGUUUCGCGGGAGAGGAAUUUAAUCCCGGAGAGGGGGUUGAGUGCGAGUCUGAUGCUAUUGGAGGAGAGAGAGAAGAAAACUGCAGUGGAGGAGAAGAGCAAACGGUUAAUUUUUAUUUUUUUUCGAGCAAAAAAUGCAUGAAAUUUCGGUUCGAUUCGAUUCUACGUCUCUACCAUGAACAGACAGCACUGGCGCCCCCAUCAUUGAUAAAUGAUUUUGAAAACAUUUGCAAGAAAUAACUAGAAUUUAGCUUUCCAUAUAGGAACAAUGGGGAUUUCCAUCGGACCACUCAAGAACACAAGCUAGUAUUGCUGGAAGCCCAUAUGGAAAGAACAGUAUGGGAAUGAGUCUCUACAAGGGAACUGGCACGUCAAUUUGUACAACAGCAGAAUUCUUUAGGGUCAAAGUUACGUGCACGAUCUCAACCAUUGAAUGAAAGAAAAUUGAUGUCAACGAUUGAACUUGGCAUGACCAUUUUGUCCUACCAAACCCCACUAUCCCAUAACUCACGCCAAAAAUAAUAAGUUAUGCCAUAUCAAUAUUUCACUAAUCAGUGUGUAAGUUAUAGUUUUGAUUAUUUAGCUUUACACAUUUGACAAAAUUGCUUUAGGGAUAGAUAUCUCUUAGUCAUCAAGCGUAAAUUUUUACCAAGAAAAAGUGAAGAAAUCAUGGAACUUGCGGUUCCAGGAUUGAAUCGAAUUUACAUAUUGAUCUAGUUCGAGCAUUUCAUCAAACAAGUAAUAUGCAUUUUGAUCAAGGAGCUCAUCCGCAACCAGAUCGAAAAUCGUCCAAAUUGGACUGGACUGGCUGGUUUAGUCCAAUUCCUGAUUGUAUAAAAAUGAAACCGAUGAUUUUCAAUUUGGUUCCCAUUUUUUGGGACCGAGAACCAAAUUGGACAAUCCUAACCAAACAAGUUCCAGUCCGAUCCACUAAAACUGGCCACUUAGCAAAACUUUUUUGUUUAAAAAUAUUAGAGUUGGUAUGCCUAUAUAAUUUUUGUCCUUUUCUUCACUUCCUUCACUUUUGUCUUUAUUUCCUUGCCAAGCAUGAGCUCGAAGUCUCUCAUGAUAAUGCAAUCUUUCUUAUCUUAAAACAAAAAAUAUAUCACUCCAUAUAUAAUCCAUGCCAACCGACUAUGCCUUAACACACCUUCCUUUUAUUUUUCUAUCUUUAUUUUUCUAUAUAUUGCAUGAAUAUACGAAACAUCAAUCAUCAUAUCAUUUUUUAUUCCUUUUCAUUGGCCAAAUUUUCCUCAUUUGCUCUUGAACAAAUAUUGUAAGAAUAAUAUAAAUCUUUUUCUACAAUAUACUCAUCUUCUAACUUGUCAUUCCUCAUAAGUUAAUUUUUGGCAAUCAAAGAAUAAAGGGUUUGGGCCAAUUUCCUCUCUUCAUGGGCUUUGUCCAACUUGCCAAAUUAAAUCUUACAACUAUCAUUUCAAAUAUGUCUGUCAUCGGUCUAAUGUGAAUGCAAUAAUAAAAAUGUAAACUAAAUAAUAAAUGCUCCUAAAAUUACAUGCUAUGCAACUUAAUUAUAUUAUUUUUGUUUAAGGUUAAAAUUAAUCUCUAAUUUUCUAUGUAAUAAAUAAAUGGUUGAGUUGCCAAAAUUUAGGUGUUAGCGGGAUUAAAUUGGCACAAAUGAAACGUGUUUAGGACUUUUCUGACACUUUUUCCUAAUAAUACAAUGUAACAAAAUCGAAAAUUAUAGCAAAUAAGAAGAAUCUUUAUGAAAUCCCAAGUCAAGCUCCCAAGUCACGCUGAUUAUGAGAUAUUUUUAUCUAGUUAGUGUAAUUUUGCAUGCAUGUCUUUGAAAUUGAUACCAUGAAAAACCCCAAAUUGAUUCAUCUAUAAUAAAUUUAUCUUGAAUUAAUUUUUUGACUACAAAAAAUACUACAGUGAUGUAACUAUGACAAAUUUACCCUUAAUUAUUUUUCAUUAAAUUUUCCUAAAAUAACCAAAGUGUCCCUUUUAGAUAAAGUUACCCCUAAAAUCUAUGCCUAAUAUCUCUCCCCUCUCUCUGCCUGCCCCUCUUCCUCUGCCAGCAGAUCGCCCACCCCACUCCCACUUUCUCCUCUCCAUUGCCGCUCUUAAGCUCGGAUUUUGCCAUUCGAGUAAGCUAGAGAGAGAGAGAGAGAGAGAGAGAGAGAGAGAGAGAGAGAGAGAGAGAGAGAGAGAGGUGAUAAGGUAUUGACGGUCGUGAUAGGCGAUUGGGCUUGCUCGGAUGGAGGCUAGUGGCGGCCAUAGGGAUGAGGACGGCAGAGGAGGUCCAUAUCCAGUGGAAGAGAACUAUAAUGAGAAAGACGAAAAAUGGGGAGAAAAGCUUUUGAUUUGACUUCAAUAAUUAUUUCUAAAAUUUUGAUUCCAUCGUUAUUCACCACGCCUCACAUGAAUGAUUAUUCAGAAGCUAAAGAAUUGAAAUCUAGAAACAAGAAGGUAAAACAAUAAAUGUGAAUCCGCCAAACACUUCGACCGUUUAUGAAUCUAUGACCACGAGCAUAAGUUCGUCUUCGGCAACAGGAUCGAAGCUAACGCAUUGUCCCACUGGGACGUCGAGGCAAUGAGACGUGGAGAAGUGAAGGGGCCGCGGAGCCAACCCUUGGCUAUCACCUGAUACACCGCCUCGGUCGAGUGAAUUCCGUCCCAAUUCACGAGAGCCGAUGGAUCUGUACACAGAGUCGAGCCAUUGGAACCACACAUGGCCGAGAGGUCAAAAUGAUACGGUCCGCCACCUCCACACCAAGCUGCUUGUGUACCUCCAUUGAAUCCUGCAAACAAGAGGAGGAUUGAUCUCCAUAGUCACCCUUAUAACUUCACAAAAGUACCGCAAACUUUCGAAUAACUUCGAUGUGACUCAGUGAAUUAUCUUAUAUGCCUAAUUCACUGUCGAUUAUGAGACUAGAAUGAAAGAAAACACACCAUAAUGAUUUGGUGUGCAGAAGAAACGAAUGGCAGCUCCAUAGUAAUCGGCAUACAUAAUCCUUGCGUGGCGAUAUUUCUGUCUCAAAAUCUGCAGCUUUCGCUUGACAUAACUGUUGUGGUACUUGGAGAACUCAUUAUAAGCUUUGAGACAGCCAGUUCUUGGAUCAGAGUCCGAUUCAUUAGAGCUGUGAAACAAAGCCAAGUACACCGUCCAGCAACCGAUCGGGAAAUUCCCCGGCACCACUAAAUCCACUGCCCCUUCUUCGAUGACCAUCUAAAGCAAUCACAAGCUAUGAAAGUAAUUCAUUUGAGGUGACCACAUGGAAGAUUUUAUUGGAACGAAUGUUGAAUAAAUCGUAAGUAGUUGCGUUGGUUGAGAGUCUCACCUUCAUCGCCGAGGUCGAGAGUUUGAAACCCACAGUUGCUAGCGAUUUAAGUUGGGGCUCUGGCAGUGGGAUGCUGGGCUAAUCUUCCCCGAGUAUAGGCAUUGUAGGUCUCUCCAUCGCAGAGGACCGUGAGACCUCGAAUAGUGUAAGUGGAAGAGGGCCCCGGCAGAUUCUCGGUCACCAAAAAAAGAAAAAAAAAAGAAAAAAGAAAAGGCAUGCACUGGUGGCAUUAGUGAUGGCUCUAACAACAAGGGGCACCAUGAAAGGGAGCUACUCAACACUUGCACCUAAGGUGAAAAGAAAGUUGUAGUCGUUUCCACCAAUUUCCCCCACAAGAAACAAAGACUUCUUGAAAUAUGGAUCACAAUAUGCUCAAAAGAAAUAAUUAAAACAAAAAUUAAAUGGAUAAAAGAUGGGUUGGUAACCAUAUAAAAGAUCAUUGUGAUAAGAUAUAUUUAAAUAUUAAUCACCCUGUAAAAAUAUUUUUUUCUUUGUUUUUUUUUUUAAUGAUCCAAGAGCACGGACAAAAAGCCACAUCUAUAAGAAGGUUUGUAAAACAUCCUACAAGGGCCAUGAACUGAUUGAGUUCAUGCCUUUGGCCUGAACAAGUAGUCCUUAUCAUAGCAAGUUCAAUGUAGUUAAUAUCUAAAUAGACGAUCUUUGGUUGCUUAGCUCAUGCCAACUGUAAAGUCACCCUAUGAAAGAUUUAGGAGCUACAUAUGCAUGAUAUCAACCAAAUCACCUAGAUGAAUAAUCAUACCUUGUUUAGAUAAGAUCGAUGGUACAAAAUGGAAGUACACACAAACUAUCACUAUAAAAUAUCAGUCCUCAAUCGGAGCAUACAAAAAUGAGUUUAUGUUUUAACUAGUUGGGUAGUACAAAGAGAUGAUUUGAGUCCCUUGAACCAGCUGAGCUGGACGUUUAAGGUAUGAUUCGUCCAUAACAACGAUCCAAGGUCUUGUGCAUAAAAAAAUGUCAGAUCAAGUGCCGUGGCGCCGGCAACUGCAAAAUUCACUCCACUACGAACAUGAUGCAAGCCCUUGCCCAGCUCAAGAUAUGGCUUCAGAUCGGGUAACCAAAAUGCUUCCGCUGCAUUUUCAUAUGCGUAUUGCAUGCACACCAUUUAAACAUCUCAACUGAUAGUUAAAGAUUUCAACUGCACGCAGAGCAUGAUACGAACACCGCAGGUAUAAAUAGUUUUUCCUUGAGCAUUGUUUUCUACUGCCAGAGAUCCCAAUAUUUAUACCAAAAUUAGUGGCUGUUGGGAAUGACUGAUCCCCGAAAACUGGAUUCGACACUAAAUCGAACCCCUAAAUUCAAGCGGAAGCGAAGCCCGGGAAAAACAACACGUAUCACCGAUCCUAAAGCAAACCACGGAUUCGAGCGUACCUUUUAGCCACAGAUUAAACGCUGACGCCGAUAGAGGAAGAGAAACUUGGUCAUGUUCGAUCCGGUGAAGCAAAGUCGCCUUGUAGCCUCACUGUUUGCUUUUUGGAGAAAACGACAGAGAGGAGGAGAGGAUGAGAGAAACGUACGUCUUUUCCUUUUGAACAAAACGGUACCUUUUUCCUUUUUUUCCUCCCUUUUAUACCUCUUUCCUUCCACGGGCCUUAUUCCCGUGGGACGGGCUUUCUCAGCCCAACUUGGGCGGAUGGGCCAUAAGCCCAAAUCAAAUAAAGCCUUCAUCUCCCACUCGCACAUGGUGGGCCGAACAUAAUUCUCUUUACCUCUCUUCAACAUUCAUACCGGUGAAUAAUCCGUGCGACCAGCAUACUUUGAGAGCUCGUUGCCAUACAUCUGUUAGGAAUAUAUAGCAGCUCAUAAUGGGCAUCACACUCCGAGUAGAUUUAGUAUGCAGUACCCUAGAUCGAUCGAUCACAUUUAUAUCUCUCUUGAUCUCUUUCAAACAAUGAUAUAUAUAUAUAUAUAUAUAUAUAUAUAUAUAUAUAUAGUGUAUUCACAAUUAUGAUUAUCCCAAAGACAGUCAUAAUUGGUUAACCAGUGAAUACAAAACUAUAAUGUGAUUCUCCAAAAUCGGUCUUCCUCUUUCCUUCAAACUCUCAAUUUCAGUUCAGCUUGCUUUUCUAGAAAUGCCCCAUUAGAUCGAAUCAAAAGCAUGACCAUUGGCAACAUCCUAAGAUAGCAAACACUAAAUAGAAAUCUUGAGAAUAAGUAAGAGUCAUGAGGGGACAAAAAAAAAUUGAGGAACUCUUUUCCUCAAGAGUCUCACACGACAUUAAAAAGUUGAGAUCAAACUUUUGCUACUCUUAUUGGUCGUCUCAUGCAUACGUAGUAUGAAAUACGUAUUACGGUAUUAACUCAUUUCCCAUGGAGCGUAUGUCUACACUUUCAAUACCGUACAGAUGAUAGUUCAGACAUACCCAAUGUCUAACUUGAGUUCACGUAUCUACUCAUUCACAAAAUUCAUCAGAACUCACAUAUGGCAUCUUAGACAGAUAAAGUAAAACAUGUGGGGUAUUUUACUUUCGGACAUAAUAAGUAUUAUGUCCUCAUCUUAACACCUAGUUAAGGCAACAUACGUGUUUUAAGCUUGAGCUCUCGAUUAUCACCUAGAUAAUAAGCUUAAAAACAGUCUCAUCUCUAUUUAUCACAUAGUAAAUAGAGGCGAUUACCCGUGUGAGUGGGCUAAUCUUAUAUCUGUCCGACAUACUUCCUAACUUAAAGUAAUGCACUGAGCAUUAAGAUGCAUAAAGAUCAAACAAAUAUUCAUAGGCAUUAAUGAUGAAAACACAAAUUCAUCAAAUGUGAACUCUUAGGGAAAUUACAAUAUUCAGUACAUCAUCCUCUACGCAAUCCUAGAGAUUUCACAUGGCCACAAAACACAUCUUUAGGUAUUGGCUUUGUUAUAGGAUCUGCUACCAUUCUAUGCGUAGUAUGUGCUCUAAGUUCACAUCCUUUCGUGCAACCAUAUCCUUGACAAAGUUAUACUUGGUAUCUAUAUGUUUGGUCUUGCCAUGAUAUUUUGGAUCUUUGGUGUACACUUUUGCUGCUUGGCUAUCACAGUUAACCAACAAUGAAUCUGCAGCACUUCCAAUAACAUCUAAAUGAUCCAAAAAAUCUCUUAAGCCAAACACCUUCUUAUACUGAUGCUGAUAAUGCCACGAACUCUACUUACAUCGUAGAUAAGGUUAUACACUUUUGUUUUUUACUGCUCCAACAUAUGGUGCCAUUAUUCGGUAAGAAAACAAACCCAAAGAUAGAUUUUCUUUCAUCUAAAUCUCCUUCUCAAUCAGCAUCGUAAUAGCUUUAGAGUCGCAAAUCCUUUCCUCAAUGACUCAGCAUAUAAUCAGCAGUUCCCUUUAGAUACCUCAGUAUUCUCUUAACGGCUUAUCAAUGUGCUUGACCUGGAUUGGAUUGGUAACUACUCACCAUUCCAACUACAAAACAUAUGUCAGGUCUUGUACACAUCAUAGCAUACAUAAAGCUUCCAACAGCACUGGCAUAAGGAACAUGUUUCAUUUGUUCAUUCUCUUGUGGAGUCCUUGGACACAAUUUAUGGUUCAAUUCUUCACCUUUUGCAAUAGGAGUGUCUAUGGGUUUACAAUCCCAUAUCCUUCAAUUCAAAAUUGGAAGAGAACCAACUUUUGACAGUAUUGACAAACUCCAUAUUACUUAUGGCAAUUAGUAUAUCAUCAACAUAUAAUGAUAUGAUCACAAAUUGAUCUUUGGAUCUUUUGAUAUAUACACAAUGAUCCUUAUCAAUCAUUGUAAAGUGAUAUGCCAUUUUGGCAUUAUGAAAACGUAUAUACCAUUAUCUUGACGACUGCUUAAGGUCAUAUAUCGACCCCCAAAGUCGACAUACCUUUUCUUCUUGGCCUUUCACUAUGAAACCAACAGGUUGUUCCAUAUAUACUUCUUCCUCUAAUUCUCUAUUGAGGAAAACAGUAUUUACAUCCAUCUGAUGUAACUCAAGAUCCAUACUAACCAUUAUUGCCAGAAUAAUGCAAAUUAAGGUAAAUCUCACUACAGGAGAAAACGUAUCUUCAUAAUCAAUAUCUUCCUGUUGAUUAUACCCAUUCGCCAUAAGGUGAGCCUUAUGCCUUUCUAUCGAGCCAUCAGCCUUUCGCUUUAUUUUGAGAACCCACUUGUUCCCAAUAGCUCUGCGUCCCUUUUGGAAGAUCAACCAGUUCCCAGACUUGGUUUGACUUCAUUGACUCCAUCUCCUCUUUCAUUGCAUAAAUCCAUUUUUCCAUACUAGGGUAUUUAAGAGCCUCAUUAAUAUUUCUUUGCUCAUCCUCAUCUUGCGAGUAAUCAUAAAAGUUUCCCCUUCAAUGUCAAGACGUUGACGGGGAAUACUUUGGCAACUUUUUCGCCGUAUGGGAGAUUGUACACUUAGCACAUCAUUCCCAAUUAUGCUCCCACUUGGAUUAGGUAAUGAUGAUGUCGUCACAUCAAGUGGUUGUAAUUGAGAAUGAGUUGAAUUCAAUUCAUCACUUCUCAUAUUACUCCCACUUGGAUGAACUCCAUUAAUAUCAUUAUCUUGAUCCAAGGUUUCAAAUAGGAAGUAAUCUUCCCCUAUUUCGCCCUUCUUAGGAAAUUCAUCCACUAAGAAUGUGACAUCCCGUGAUUCAAAAUUCAGUUAUUCUCCCACUUUCCUGCUCACCUAUGAACACAUACCCUUUCGAGUGUUUGGAGUAUCUCAUUAAAAUACUCUACUUUUAUUUGGGACUCAAUUUCCCAAACUUGUGAGAGGACAUAUGAGUAUAGGCAGCAUAACCCCAUGGCUUAAGUAAACUUAAGUCCGGUUUCUACCUAUCCAUAAUUCAUAUGGAGUGGAACUAACUGAUUUGGAAGGCACCCGGUUAAGUAUUUAGGCAGCAGUUAACAACGCAUCACUCCAAAAAGUGAUAUGUAAGUUAGCAUACGCCAUCAUGGACCUAACCAUUUUCAGUACGGUUCUGUUUCUUCUCUCUGCAACACCAUUUUGUUGAGGAGUAUAUGGAAUAGACAACUAUAUUUCUAUUCCUUUUCAUCACAUUAUUUUCUGAACUCAUCAGAUAAAUAUUCUCAACCUCGAUCAGAUCUCAAUACUUUUAUUUUCUUGUCUAAUUGAUUUUCUACCAAGUUCAUAAACCCUUUGAAACAACUUAUGCUUCAGAUUUAUGAGAAAUCAAAUAGACACAUCCGAAUCGAGUAUAAUCAUCUAUUAAAAGUGAUGAAGUAAACAGUCACAUGCCUUCCUCUCACAUUCAUUGAACCACAAACGUCAUAAUGGAUUAAAUGCAGAGGAACGUCAGCUCUUUUACCUUUUCCAAAUGGUUUCCUUGUCGUUUUCCCUUCUAGGCAAUGCUUACAUAUGGACAAAUCGACUUAUUCAAUAUUGUCCAACAAGCCCUCUUUGGCUAGUCUAUUCAUAUGUUGUUGGCCAAUAUAACCAAGUCUAGCAUGCCACACAUUCACAUCAUUAUCACAUGAAGUAAAAGACGUGAAACAAGAGAAUAACAUAUUGACAUCACCACAGUCAACAUUUAGUACAAUAAAACCAUUCAGUAAGUGACCACAACCAUAGUAGUUUGUAUCUAAACACAAAUCUACACCUCUAUUAUGGAAGUUCAUAUAAAAACCAAGCUUGACCAACACCAAAACAGACACUUAAAUUUCGACGGAUCUCUAGAGCAUUUAGAACAUCAUGUAGGAACAAGUUGCGUCCAUCACACAUGUUCAGUUGGCAUGUGACAAUCCCUUUAACUUCAGCUCUGGAGUUGUUUCCAAUAUAGAUCCACUUAGUUCCAAUUGGUAUCGUCGGAAUUCCACGAAAGAUCCUUUAUCCUUCGCUACAUCGUCUGUUGCUCCUGAAUCUACAGUCCACAAAGGAUUGGAUUCAGCCAAUAAUUUAGAACUUGACACAUAAUCAAAGUUCUCAAACGUACAAGAGGUGUUUACAUUCUUUGGCUCACGACAGUCGCGAGCAUAGUGACCCUUCUUGUCACAGUUGUAACAUUUCACCCUUGACAUUUUCUUCACUUGAGGACGUUUUCCUCUCUUGUGUUGGUUAAUUCUUGAUCUCUUGCAAUAAGGACUUGAUCCUUUGCAUUCCCACAUAUUGAACAAAUCAAUACGCUUGCGCUUAGAGCUCAAAACCCUUUAUGAGCUAGAACCAGCAUUGCAAAUAUCUAUUCUCAGCUCACAUGCCGUUAAGCGGUCCUCUACCAGCUCAAGAUGGCGCACAGCACUCUCAAGAUCUUCCAUAACAUGGUCAAGAGCUUCUAGUGCUUCUUGCUUUUGCAUCACAUAUUGAAUCUUCAUAUUCAAUAUUUCACAAUUGUAGCUGUUCAUAUCAGCAAUUACAUUCUUAGUUGCUGAACCAUCGUUCUGAACACAUCAGACAUACAUGCACGAAUAAUUAAUGCCUAUCAUUUAUGUAUCCCUAUUUGCAUAGACCCAUCAUAUUAAUGAAUAAUUUCAAGUAAGGCUUCAUAAUCAAAAUGUCACUAUGUUUCUAAUCAUCCUCCAAAAAAUCCUAACUCAAAAUUAUUAUUAAUAUAAUUGUCUUAUGCAAAUGAAUUCUAUGAAGUUACAAAAAAUUCUAUUACUACCCACAUCUAAUUACCCACAGCAACCAGCAAUAGCAGAAAUCAAAUAAAAUCUUAACAUCCAAUAAAGUAACAAUGCUUUCACAUGAUACAACUAAUAUAUCGGUUGCUACAUCAAUAACAAUCAGGUAGUAAACAUUACAUAAUUAAUCAAAGAAAUAAAUAGGGAAUGUCCCUUCUAAUCUAUCAGCCAUAAUAUAUGAGAAAUUUGAAGGCACAUUUGCCAACCAUGGAAAAAUUUUUGGAGAGCUCUCAUGUCGCCACCAAGGCGCAUUCACUCUGCGUCAUGUGGCGCUCAAUCUAAGGGUUGAAGUUUUGGCCAACUCAAUCCUAUAGUAUUCUCUUACAAAAGCUUCCUCUAGCCCCCUGUAACCCGGGACCACGUUGACCUCCCAUAGCCGAUCUAACACUGCUUGCCAUUCAGGUGGAAGAGUGUUCAUCAAAGCCGGCACCUUCUCAAAAUCCGGCAUAAGAUAACCAUUCCAUAUGAUUUCCUGUAUCAUCUGAUUGACCUUGACCAUGUGUGAUACUAAAUCACCAUCAAACCACCGAUAAUCAGCUAACACUUUCAUCAACCUUUUCAGUCUAGCUCUUCCUUCGUCCGUUCUUGGGAUUGCAGGUAUCCUUGCAUAACGCAUCAUAGUUCCUGCAACAAAUGCAGAACUAAAAUGGAUCACUUAUAAUCCAUAAUAAACAAAAUGGAAAAUACAUAAAUUUCCAUGAUUCAUGCAACAAAUGCAGAAUAAAAAUGGAUUACCUACAACCCACACAGACAUAAUUGAAAAAAGAAACAAAUUCCUUUUUCUUUUUUUUUCGGUCAACGGUCAAAGUCAACAGUCAACGGUCGUCGGUCAACGGGUCAACGGUCGGUCAACGGUCAAUGGGUCAACGGCCAAGUCGUCGGACCGGUCGGACCGGUUGGGCCGGUUCGCGUGAACCACCCGUACGUGCCGCUCGCGUGCACGGGCUGACAUCACGCAGACGUCAGCCGGCACGUGCCGCACGCGUGCCGGGUCUCGCGUGGGUCGGGGGUCGGGUCUUCGGCCGGUGACCGUUCGGCGAAACGUCGUCGGCGAUGACGUCAUCGGUGACGUCAUCCAAGCGGUUACCGACCGUUGGAUGACGUCACGGCGACGUCAUCACGUGACGUCAGCACGCGUCGGUCCGUGGACCGGCGCGUGCCAUUUUGCCGGUCGCCGGCGCGCACGUGCCGGUUCGUCACCGGCGCGUGUGGCACACGUGCUGGCCUUAGCCAGCGCUUCGGGCGCGUGGUGCCCACACGCAGCUGCUUGUGGCCGCGCGUGUGGGCGCGUGUGGCGUCGUCCGGCGACGCACGACAUGUUGCCGAACUCGUCUCGACGUCGCCUUUCACCCAGUGCCUUCAGAAUUCAAUUUUAACUUACGAAAACUCAGAAAAAUGGCCGAACAGCGCUCGGGUGUCGGGAUUUUCGCCCCGAUCCGUACGGCCGAAGAUUUUUCGCGAUAAAUCAAUAAAAAAAAAACAUCAAAUUGAUCGGGAAAACGUGAACUAGAGCUCUGAUACCAAUGUUGGGAAUGACUAAUCCCCGAAAACUGGAUUCGACACUAAAUCGAACCCCUAAAUUCAAGCGGAAGCGAAGCCCGGGAAAAACAACACGUAUCACCGAUCCUAAAGCACACCAUGGAUUCGAGCGUACCUUUUAGCCACAGAUUAAACACUGACGCCGAUAGAGGAAGAGAAACUUGGUCCUGUUCGAUCCGGUGAAGCAAAGUCGCCUUGUAGCCUCACUGUUUGCUUUUUGGAGAAAACGACGGAGAGGAGGAGAGGAUGAGAGAAACGUAUGUCUUUUUCCUUUUGAACAAAACGGUACCUUUUUUCCUUUUUUUCCUCCCUUUUAUACCUCUUUCCUUCCACGGGCCUUAUUCCCGUGGGACGGGCUUUCUCGGCCCAACUUGGGCGGAUGGGCCAUAAGCCCAAAUCAAAUAAAGCCUUCAGUGGCCUUUUGCAUCAAAUCCCUGUUCUUUUCCCUAAAAGCAGAUAAAGAGUCUGAGAGGACUACAUACCUAUGAAAUCGAUCAUGAGACGUCCAUCUGAAAAACAACCGGUGGGAUGCCCAGAGAAGGUUUUGCCAUAAGGAAGCUUAGCCACAGCCAGAAAUGCGACCGCCCCAGUACUAAGGAAGUUCCCGGUGUCGCUUACAGAGUCGCCGAAAUUGAAAAUCGACUCGUACCUACGUGGGAGGGCCAUGUUGGUCUUCAAAGACAGACAACAAUGCAGAAGUAUCGAGAUUAUUAUAUUAUAUUUCACGGGAAUCUUGAGUAUUUUCGAGAGAAGAAGUCUUGGAGAUGCUAAGAGAGUUGGUAGACAAUUUAUGUGCUCUCUUGCUUGCUAAUAUCAAUUUUGUGAAAAUAUAGGGUUUGGAGGUGAGGUUGAAUUGCUGAAGGCGGUGUAAUCAGGAGUCACUGUGCCCUUUGCUUAUACAUUGGAGUGUCAGAUGGAAGCUCGACAUAUAAACAUGGUGACAUGAGAUUGUCGUCUUGUGGAUGUCUGGGUGUUCCUUGGCGACUCAUGUUGUUGAUUUUUGAUGAUCAUACAAUGAUGGCUUGAUGUCCCAAGACGACCACCCGUUGAAAACGUGUUAAAUGAUUAAGAGCCUCAUCUGUAUUUUUCCAUACCGCUACCGAGCUGAACGCGACAAUAUUUGAGUUAGCUCUUUCUACGAAAACGAUGAAGUCUCAGACAUUCUCUUACUUUCCAAACUAUUUUGUAUAGAGGAGGCGAUUUAGACUAUUUUUGUUGGUUUCUAAUCCAGUUAGGAUGUCACAUAGGUCAAAAUAAAUGGUUAAGACGAUAUGAUGUGAAAUAACAGGUCAGAUAGAAUAGAUUAAAAGGAUAUUCUAAGGCAUCAAGCAGUUCGAAAUGAAUAUAAUCCACACGAGCUAAUGGCAAUUAUUGUUAGCUGCUGAAAUAAUUGAUAAUAUUGAAGUACACUGUGCAAAAUGUCACAUGGUGUUGAACAGAUCGAUCUAACUAUGACUUGUUUUCUUGCGUAUUAUGCAUCGAUAAUCAAACGCAAAAUUAUUCUUUUUCUGGCUAUGGUCCAAACUGGUUUUGGUUCUUGGCUCCCACUUGGACAUUAAUUAUAUCCCUCGGCCUCAUUUUUAUCGUAAUUUGUGUGGCGCCACAAAAUUCCAAGACCCCCAUUCUUGGAAGUUUCUAAAAAUUAGCUUAGGUUUAAAUCCCACGGGCUUUACAUAUUCAAUUGGACUAAUACUCUAAUCCAAAACGAGUUAAGAGACAGAUGUAUAAAGUGACUACUCAAUGCCGUAUCAACUCUCCCAUGGACGUCUCUUAUCCCUAACGCUAAUAUGUGCACCUAAACAAAUUAGUAUCAUUAGAGAUAUAUGGUUAAUUAGAUACUUUGAAAACAUUUUGAUUAAUAAGUGCUAUCCAAAAUCGUUCAUAUUAAUAUGUCAACCCUUCAAAAACAUAAAUUCAAUAAGUAAAUUCAUCUCUUGAUUUGAGAGGAUCAGAUCAUAAAACCAGUUGUUGAGAAAAGUCGGAUAGUUAAUUAGUUGUGUGGCUCGCAAUAUCAACAAUAAUUUCAAGAUUUUGAUUCCAGCGGUAUUCAUGACUCAUCACAUGAAUGAUAAUCCAACAAGAAAAGUUUACAGGAUGGAAAUCUGAAACAAGAACACAUAGGUAGAACAACAAGAUGUCAAUCCACCGAACACAGUGACUCUUUAUGACUCGGUGACUAUGAGCAUACAUUCAUCUUUCACAUUAGAAUCGAUGCUCUAUUCAUCAUCCCCUUCGGACUUCUAGGCAACGAGACGUGGAGAAGUGAAGGGACCGUCGAGUAAGCCCUUGGCCAUGUGCCGAUACGCCGCCUCGGUCAAGUGAACUCCGUCCCAAAGUAUGGAGGCUGACGGAUCUUUACACACGCUUGACUUGGAACCACACAUCAUCCUGACGUUGAAAUUAAAUGGUCCACCAGCUCCACAGCAAGCUACAUGUGUUGAUUUAGAGAAACCUGAAAACGAGAGGACAUCGAUCUCACCACUUAACCUUAUAAGUUCAUUAAGACGCCGCAAGUAGGAUAAAUCUUCAAUCUAUAUACGUAGUUGAAGGUUCUAUAUGCCUAUUCACCAUUGAUCGUGAAAGUAAGAAGAAAGUAAACUCACCAUACUGUGUUGGUGAUUCAAAGAGACGCAUGAUAUCUUCAUAAUAAUCUGCAUAGAUAAUCCUUGCAUGGUUAUAUUUUUGUCUCAAAACCUGCAACUCUCGUUGGAGAUAAUCGUUGUGAUACUUGGCGAAUUCAUUAUAACGAUUGAGACAACCAGUUGUCGUAUUAGCGUUGUUCUUGAGAAAGGGUGGAGCUGUCGUUAUGUACAAUGUCAAGCAACCAAUUGGCAGAUUCCCUGGCACUACUAACUCCACCGCCCCGUGUUCGAUGAGCAUCUAAAACGAUCACAUGCCAUGAAAAAUUUAUCGGGGUGCUAAAAAAGGUUAACGACGCAAGAUCUUAUUGGAAAAAUAGUAUUGCGCUUUGUUCCUUGCAAGAAAAAGAAAAGGUCCAUACGCUGGUGGCAUUGGCGAUGGCUCCAACAACAUUUGGCACAAUGGGACGGAGCUGCUCAAAGGUUGCACCCAGGGCGAAAGCAAGAUUGUAGUCGUUUCCACCAAUUUCCCCCACUAGAAAUAAAGACUUCUUGAAAUAUGUAUCGCAAUCUACAAAAGAAAAGAACGAAAAUAAAAAUCAAAUCAUCAAAUGACUCUAGUAAUCGAUUUAAAAAUCCUAAUAAUGAUAUAUUCCAAUAUUGAAGUCACUCAACGAAAGACUUCUUUUAUUUUCCUUUGAUAUUGCAAGAGCACAAAAAUAGAAACCCGUCUAUCUAGAGACCUAUGAAAUGCCCUUCAAUCCCCAUAAAUUAAUAGACUAGGCCUAAGCAAUUGUGCCUCGGUUUCUAAGUUGCAAGUCUAAACAUCCCAAUCUAUUGCACCAAACCUGUAGUGGUCAUCCUACGAAAGAUUUAUGAGCUACAAAGACAUGAUAUCUACCAAAUCACCUCAGUAAAUAUCUUCAGUGUAUAUAAUCGAUCACAGAAAGGAGUAAUUGCUAUACAUGUUAGUCCUCAACCGGAGCCCACAAAAAUAGGGUUUAUAUUAUUUACCUUGCUGGGUUGUGCAAAGAGAAGAUUUAAGUUUCUUGAACCAGUCGAGCUGAACAUUUAAGGAAUGAUUCGUCAUUGUCAUCGCUGGAAUGCCUCGAGCUGCAAAGAAUGUCGGAUCAAGCGCUGUGGCACCAGCAACUGCAAAGUUAACUCCGCUACGAGCAUCAACUGAGCCGUUGACUACCUCAAGAUAUGGCUUCAAAUAGGGUAACCCAACUGCUUCCGCUGCAUUUUCAUAUAUGUAACGCAUAUACACCAGUUAAACAUCUAAAAUUAACUCCCCCAUUGAUGAUAAAGAUUGCUAAAGAUUGUCAUUAACUCUGCUUUAAAUAAGUUCUUUUUCUUGUCGUUUCGAAAGAAAAAUAUUAUUGUCGUCAGUGAAAUAUCAACACCAAACGUAGAAAAAUAGCCCUGUCUUUGAGCUUGGAUAUAUAAUACUGUAGAUCCAAAUAUUCUCAGCAAAAGCUGCGACCUUCUGAUUUAAAUGCCUGUUCUCUUCCCUAACACGAGCAUGCAUUUACAAAAAGCAAAGAAGUGUUAGGAGAACAUACCAAUGAAAUCAAUUAUAAGACGUCCAUCUGAAAAACGACCGGUCGGAUGCCCAAAGAAGGUCUUGCCAUAAGGAGACAUCGGCAGGAUUGCAUGAUCCCCCGCAGAUCGGAGGUAGUUCCCAGUGUCGCUUAGAGAGUCGCCAAAGUUGAAAAUCGACUCAUACUUAUGCAGGAUCGUCGAGUUGGCCUUCAAAGCAAGGCAACGUUGCAGAAGGAUCAAGAUUAUUGCUGUAUAUUUCAUGGCAAAUCUUGAGUAUUUUUGAGAGAUAAAGUCUUGAUGAUGCUAAGAGAGUUGGGCAACAAUUUUAUAUCCUCUCUUUGCUAAUUUUCAGUUGGUUAAAUUUGGGGUCUUCAAGGUGAGCUUAAAUAGCUGAAAUUGGUUCAAUCGGUUCAUUAAAUUCUUUGCUUAUAAUAGAAAGGGUGAGAUGGACGGGUAACCGACAGUAAGGGGGCAUGAGAACGUCAUUUUUUCGUCAUCGAGUCGUUUUGUCAUUACCUCUUACUCGUCAUUCUAUUGGGGCGACUAAGGUUGUUGAUUCUAGAACUUCUUUUCAGUCCCCCUUCGACUGGUGGGACGGCGUACGGAGCGACAUGGAAGAUAGAUGUAGUUAAUUCUAAGGUCGUGGAGAAUGUCUUUUUCCUCGUUUUGAACCUCCAACAAUUGAAACCUCCGAAAACAUAGGGACCGUUAGCAAGUGCCACAGCUUGCGGGCUUUAAGACUUAGCAAUGCCACGUCGAAGACUUCUCUCCUAUUUAGUCAGAUUUAUGAGAAAAGUCGAUAAUAAUUUUCCUUUUCACAAAUUUAACUUUGUAAAAGAUUAGCAAAAUGAUUAAUCAUAUUUGAAAUUUAAUGAACAUUUCUAAUGACACUGACAAUUUUCAUUUUAGUAAGAGAUUAUAUUUUUCUGCCUUCGUUUUCCUGUGUGCGUUAUUUAAUUUCCUCCAAAUUAUUUACUUUCGCAAAUUAUUUUUUCAGCUGCAUUGUUCCUGUACCCCUUAUGAGGAAUCUUCCAAAGAUGAGCCCAAGUUGGAACCCAUGAGGUUUAUAUUAUGCAGUCGAAUCCAUAUUGACGCAAUAACUUAAAUCAGAAUCAAGAGUCGAUUUUCUAUAUCUAGUAAACCUCCACCCAUAUUGCUACGUCGUAAAACCUGCCUUCAUUCAUAGUCUCUUCCACCAAAUCGUGAGGUGAUGAUAUUUUUUCCUAAGAAUCUGUAAUCAUGCGCGAAAUUUUCCAUAAUUCGAUCACAUUCAUUAAUCGGUGGCCACUAAUUGACCACAAGUGGUGAUUCUACUUGUUAGGAAAAUUCGUGAAAAGAGUCCAAAAAUUAUUCCAAUUUUGUUAGUUAUAAACCUUCUAAUUUUGCUAAUUAAGUACUAAACAUGUUUAUGUUUUGUCAAUUGAGUCUUUCCAAUCAAUUUGGCCAAAAUUCGUUGACAUAAACACCGACAAUUUUACAUGACAUAAUCGGCACUAACAUGAAAAAAAAAUUAAAAAUUAUUUCUUUUAUUUUAUUUUCUUUUUCCUUUAUUUCUUUCCUUCUCUUUUCCCUCUUUUCUUUUUAGGCCAACCUCACCAUGGCCCCGCGGCUGGUGAGGGCUUUGCUACCUCGUUUGUGGCUAGUGAGGCUGGCCUCGCUCAAACCAUUAUGACUACAAGGGAGGCCCCUUACCUAAAUCAAAUCAAGGCCAUGGCGAGGCUAGCCUCGCUUGCGGCCCACAAGGGGAUAGCGAGCUAGCCACUAUAAAAAAAUAAAAUAAAAGAAAAAAUAAAUCAAUGAAAUUUAAAAUAUUAUUAAAAAAUGUUCAUGUCAAAGCUAGCCAUGCCAUGAAGGAUGGCCGACAUUUGUGUUGGCAAUUUCUUACCAUAAAGACUCAAAUAGCAAAACGUGAAAAGUUUUGGAACUAAAUUGGCAAAUGUAAAAUAGGUUUAGAACUUUUUGGACAAUUUCCCCCCUUCCCCCCACACUAGGGCUCUGUCUCUCUCUCUAUCUCUCUAUGGAUCAAUGCUAUCAAGAAGAUCCUUCAGGUCUAUCAAAGGUUCAAUUUUGUGAGAAAUUUGAGUAUUUUGAAAUUCCAGUGAAUAGACUUUAUUAACAUCGAAAUUAGGAUUUGAAUGUAUAGCUUUCAAAAACUAUGAGGACUUGAUCACUAGAACAAAAUAUUUGACCUUCUAAUGUAAUUUUUCUUUUUAGAUUCACUUGAAUAACUUUAUUCGUUGGUAUUUCUGGUUUGUGAGAUAAGAUGAAGAAAUUCAAAAAAAAAAAAAAUUGUUGUCAACUAGUGGCUCCGAUAAGAGUAAGUUCUUGUCGAUUCCCACUUUGGUUGGAAUAACCAUUUAAAAAGUCCAAAAUCAAUUGCACUUUAGUCAAUUCAGUUUUAAAUAUUUCAAUUAUAUUAAUUGAUUCAUAAACAUUUUCACAUUUUGUCAAUUGAGUCAAUCUAGCCAAUUACGUAUGGAAAUCGCUAAGAUGGAUGUUGAUCGAUUUACAUGACAUAGCUAGUGCUGACAUGGACAUUUUUUGAAUAAUUUUUUGAUAAUUUUUUGGGUUUUUUUUCCUUUAUUUUGUUUACUUUUUUUUUUUUUUACAAAGGACCGAUGACCCUCACUCAACAUUAAGCAAUGGCAUCGAGGCCCUUGACAAAAAUAGGCAAGGGACCACCUCGCCUUGCCUAGGCUAGCCUUGCUAGUGGCCAACCAUCACAUGAGACUAGCCAUCAGCAAAAAGCAAAGAAAAAACAAAUUAAUGAAAAAGGGAAAAAAUUAAAAAUUAAAAAGUUGUCCACAUUAGCAUCAAUAUACCAUAUAGGGUAACUAGGGGUGUGCAUGGUCCGGGCGGGCAGUUCCCAACCUAGAACCGGGAACCGCCCGCUAAAGACCGGUUCUGAAAAAUUAGAACCGGGAUCCACCCGUUUGUUGCAUGGAUCCACCCGGAAACCGAACCGUCGGUCCGGUCCGGUUCCGGGUGGAUCCAUGGAACCGAUCUUGACAUGAAAUAAUUUUGAUUUUCAACAUAGAACGACUACGUGACAUCAAAGCAAGCCAAAAAAAAAGAAAAACUAAAUUUAAGUACGUGGAGAUGCGGAUGGCGAGAGAAGUAAACGCAGUGAAAUGGCAAUAGGAUUAGGAGCCGAAGACGAAGGGAGUGAGAUGAGAUUUAAGGUUUCUUUUAGUAAUUUUUUUUUUAAUAUUAAAAAGGUUCUGGUCCGGUGGCGGGCGGGUGGAUCCGCCCAUAGAACCGGGAACCAGACCGGUUCCCUCAAGAACCGCCGGUUCCAAGCGGUCCGGACGGUUCCCGGGUAUUUUGCACACCCCUAAGGGUAACUGACACUAACUAGAUUGCAUGUUAGCUUUUUUCCAAUCAAAAUCAAUUGGAUGGAUUUCAUUGGCAAAGAUGAAAAGGUGUGGGACAUAAUUGGUACAACUAAAAAGUUUAGAACUAAAUUAGUUAAAGUACAAUAAAUUUGAAAAAAUUUCGAUAAUUUUCUCCUCUUUUUUACAAUUGUGUUGUUCUACCUCUGAAUCCCUCAAAAAUCAAGAUAAGCUUUUUCUUAAUGCUACCGAUAUGGAAUGGUGAAUGAUCACUGACCUUAUCCAUGAAACCUCUUCUUUUGCCACUUCAUGUAUAUGGAACUCAUGGUCGUGUGAAUUGCAAAACGUUGAAAAUUCCAUUCGGUAAAUGAAAUGACAUGCCUUUUUCCAUCAGUCAUAUUAUAUGUAGCUCUAUCAAUGUUGACACUUGCUGAGCUGUAGUGGAUAUUUGGUCCCUAGUCUAGUCUCCUCCAUUCAUUCAUCCUUAUGUUAGGACUGACCACUCUGUUCUACUUGAAUCUGUACCCUUCAGCCUCCUUAUUUUCCAUAUAUUUUCAAACCCUUAUACAAUUUCCAGAUGAGAUUAAAAGCAAGGAAGCAAAAAAAUUCAAUUUAAUUGUCAAAAACGGAUUCCUAAUAAAAACGGAUACUUGAAUUAUCGAGUAACAUUAAAAUAUAAAUACAGAAACGUGCCUGAGAAUACUUGUAACUAUUGAUACCUAAAUUUUAACGACUUGUUUAAUCAUUUAUUAAUCGCAUAAAAAAUUAGAGAUUAAAUUUUAAACCUUAGCAAAAAUAAUUUCCAUUAAAUUGCAUGACAUAUUGACAUUAGGAGUAUUUGCAUUGGUAGUAAUAGAACCUUUUCAUUAAAAGAGAAAAAAAGAAAAUUAAUUAACAUAACCAUUACUUAAAAGAGGAAAAAAAAAAAAAGAGAGGAGAAAAUGAGACUAGGCUAGGGCCAAGCCGGCCCAACCUUCUUUCCUUUAUCCAAGCCGGCCCAACCUUCUUUCCUUUAUUCUUUCUUCUCCUCUUCUUCUCCCUGCUCCUUGCCUAGCUCUCUUCUUUUCUGGGCCCAACCCGCACGCCUCUUCUUCUUCCUCCCCUUAUGCCGCUCGCGCCUUCCGCAAAAAGGAGAGCAACGAAGGUACAAAGUCAGGGGAGUAGCAGGUCGCACCAUGAUCCCAGGGUCGAGGAUCAAGCCGACCGCUACAGGCUGGCGUUGGUAGAAGCCAUGGGCACUUUUCGCUGGCUAAGCUUAAAAGGAAGAAAGCAAAAGGUUUUCGGGGGUCUUCGGCGAGAGAGAGGAGGAGGGGUCCGGCCGCUUGGGAGAUCUUUGAGCAAGUGAGAGGGAGAGAACUAGAGAGUGAGGGAGCUCGAGAAGGUGGUCAACCAUCGUUGGAGUUCGUUCGUCGGCCACCUUUGUUGGCCGUUGUUAAGGGCCCAUGAGGGCCUACAAGCCCUCACUAGAUUAGGCGAGAAUCAGCCUCGCUUGGGGCCUACAAAGGUUCGAUGACCCUCGCUAGCUGCAGGCGAGGGCCAACUUCACAGAUGACUACGGGGGCAGUUUGUCCCAAGGUGAAGGUAGCUCAUCCAGACAAGAACGUCCCUUGCUAGCCACUAAGGAGGUCAACUUUGCCCAAAUCUAGCGAGGUGACCCUUGCAAGGGCUGGUCUCGUUUGCGACAACCUCCUUAGGGAAGCGGUCGCCUCACCAACAUUGAUGAGGGUGACUCUCUCCUAGCCCUUUUCGGCAUCGCCAACAGGUGGUCAGCCACCAAUGAAUAAGAAAGAAAAGCCAAAAAAAGAAAAACAAGGAAAAAAUUAAAAAAAUAUAAAUGAAUAAAAUGCCAUUGAUCAAUCAAAAAGUCAAGCCAUUUUUUGAAGUAGACAUACUUAGGUGUUCUUUUGAAAUAAGAUCCACUUCAAGCUUUCAUUUGAGAAAAUAAUAACACUUCAAGUCUUUAUUUGAAACAAAGUCUACUUCAUACAUUUGAAAUAAGUCUACUUUAGACUUUUAUUUGAGAAAAUGAAAACACUUCAAACCACUAUUUGAAAUUUUCCUCCAGUUCUAUAUAUAUGGUGUGUUUACUGAAAAUUGGCUUUUUGCUGCAAUUUUUGUCACAAUAUACCUUUAAUUUCAAAUAACUAUUUGACAAUAGAAAAAUUCCUCGAUCGAUAAGAAAUUUUAAAUACCAAAUAUCCUCCUUUCCAUUUUUUCAUAAAUUAACUGGGAGUGUAUGGAAAUAUCCUCGAUAAUUUCAAGUUUUAAGAUUAAUUAAAUCAUUGAGUUUGCGUCAUACCAUUCAUCUUCCAACAAAUACUUCCUAUUGGAAGUUCCACUUUUAUUUCUUGCAACUUAAAUUCUUUAAAAAUAUUUUUUUCUCAAUUUUCUGAGGCCUAUUAUUGGAAAAUUUGCCUAAUUUCAUUUUCAAUCAUUAAUAUAUCAUCAACAAAUAUCAUGAUAAAUGAAUUUCCUCUCCUUGAAGUAAAUAGGGAAUAAUUAUAAAAAAGAUCAACAGUUGUGAACAUCCAAGAAAUUAAAGGGGAGGAAGAAGAAGGAUAAGAAGAAGAAGAUCCGUUAGGUUUUCCAGUUCUUGCGUUUCGAGCAUUCAGUCACUCUCUGCUUCUUCUCUCUCUCUCUUUCUCUCUCCAACCCUCGAGCCAAGCUGCACUGCCGUAUUGCGGCCUCCGACCGCCACCGCCGCCAGGCCACCUUGGCGUUCAGUGACAGCACCGCCCCUCUCUCCGCCUCAUUCGAAACAUCCUCCCCGAAACCCUUAGGUCCCUCGCUUUGGUUCUCCGGGAUUGCUCGAAGAUGGAUGAGGAGCAGGAGACAGAGAGGUUCAAGAUGGACAAUGAUUACAACGACCGGCAGCGAAUCGACGGGGAAUUCUACUACCACCGGUGGAGGGAGAAGCUUGCCCAGACCAAGGACGACAUGCUCUACGGCGUCUUCGCGUCGGGGGACUCCGAUUUGGACUAUGAUGACUCCUCCAAGCUGAAGCGGAGGAAGAACAAGGACCUCCUAGGUAAGGCCAAUAUGUCGAAGCCCAUGAAUUUCGUGUCCACCGGCACGGUCACGCCGAACAGAGAGAUUGAUGAGAACUCGAAGACAGAGAAUGAGGAUGAAGAAUCCGCUGUCGUGGAUGAGGAUAGGCCGGGCUUGGGGGUCUUGAGAAGAACCAAUAAAGGAUUGUGACAUUCACUGAAGCAAAGUUGCGUCCUAGGGAUAUAGGUGUGGGUUUCAACGAUUUACGAGGAAACUCUUGCAAAGGCACUUGUUGCCUCGUUGGGGCCAGAGGAAAAGAAGCCAUCACCUGACGUGCCCGGUAAGGAGAAGAAGAUGCUGAAAAACAAAGCGAAGUAUAUUAUGGCAGAAGAACUGUUGACAAAGAAGUAGGAACAGGGCGUUGAAGUUGUGCAAAAGGUACUCAACAUGCGCGGACCUCAGGUUAGGGUGUUAGCAAACUUGGAGAAGCUAAAUGCGGAAGAGAAGGCGAGGGAGAGUGAUGUUCCUAUGCCUGAGCUCCAACACGAUACAAGGCUGAUUCUAGACUUGGCUAAGUUGGAUAUACAGAAGAUCGAUGGGGACCUGAGGAAUGAGAAGGAGACAGCUCUGAGCUUGCAAAAAAAAAAAAGGAGAAACUGCAAGCUGAGGCAGAACUCCAGAAGAAACAACUGAAUAACAUGAAGGAAAUAAUGAAUACGCUAGCCAAAUCUUUUGUUGACAUGCAAAGAAGGUUUCCUGGCGAUUAUACACAUUGUAACUUAUCUUGCAUUGCUUGCUCAUUUGCACUCCCUCUGUUUAUCACAGUAUUUCAGGGAUGGGAUCCUCUUUGCAAUCCCUCACACAGGUUGGAAGUUUUUGAUGGGAGAACAGUAACAAUUCGAACAAUAUCGAAUCAACGCAGCGGAAUAAAAUAAUCUCCCCUCUUGUGUAAACUUAAUAGGAAUCGAUAUAGUAGAGUAAAAUAAAUACAAAGCACGAGAACACAAGACAAUUUUUUACAUGGAAAACCUCCUCGAUGUGAGGAGAUAAAAAACCACGAGACCGGAGUCCACCCGAAAAUCUUCACUAUCAAUAAAAAAUUUCUUCUCUAGCAAAUACUAGAGGUACAUAGCAGCAAACACCUCAAGAACAUAAUUCUUGGCAAUAUGCAUGAACUUCACAAGAGAUCAAGGAUAAAUCUGACAAAAAACGCAGGUUUUAAUCAAUCCACAAAAAACCUUAUGUAUGGAGCUUCAAACGAAAAUCAAACCGUUCAAAUUCGAGAAAAUUGCGCCACGAACAUGUUGACAAAAUAUCAGCUCAAUCGGACCACGAAUUGACCUCCGAUGUCAGCUUGAUGUAAAUCAGAUAUUGCCAAAAACUACAGAUUUUCUGCUUUCUCUUUUUCUCUUGUUAAUGUUUCCUUUUUUGUGGCUACCUCUUUAUAUAGAUAGUGAGAAACCCUAUUUCCUCAUAUAACUUAUUAUAUUGGCUCAAACCCUUUUUGGGCUUACAAAUCAUUCGGCUUCCUCCACAUAUGAGUGAACCUAGCUAACAAAUCUCCCUCUCACGACAAUGUGGAGGGAUUCACCAUCCUUGUUAUCAAUUCGUAAUGUUCAAACUUUUCUCUUGGUAGAGUCUUCGUCAUCAUAUCAGAGCCAUUAUGAUACGUAUGAAUUUUCUCAAGUUCCAACAACUUUUCAUCUAAAACAUCCCUUAUCCAAUGAUAUCUAACAUCAAUAUGUUUCGAUCUAGAAUGAAAAGAUGAAUUCUUACCAAGAUGAAUUGUGCUUUGAUUAUCACAAAAUAGCAUAUACCUCUCUUGCUUGAACCCAAGUUCUUCUAAGAACUUCUUCAUCCAUAGCAUUUCUUUACUAGCUUCAGUCACUGCAAUAAAUUCAGCUUCGGUUGUAGAAAGUGCAAUACACUUCUACAAUCUUGACUUCCAUGACACAGCUCCACCAGCAAAAGAAAUCAAAUAACCAUAAGUAGAUUUACAAGUAUCUAUAUCUCCUGCCAAGUCGGAAUCUGUGUAUCCAACUAACUCAAGUUUCCCGGUCCCGAAACUGAGUGUCAAAUUUGAAGUUCCCCGAAGAUACCUCAUAAUCCACUUCACUGCAUUCUAGUGCUCUCUGCUUUGAUUUGACAAAUAGCGACUAACAACGCCAACUGCAUGCGCCAAGUCUGGGCGUGUACAUACCAUCGCAUACAUUAAGCUUCCUACAGCUGAAACAUAUGGAACACUUUCCAUAUCUUUCUUUUCUUUAUUAAUCAUAGAACUUUGCUUCAUAUUUAACUUAAAGUGAGCAGCAAGAAGAGUACUAACCACUUUAGCCUUGUCCAUGUAAAAUUUCUGAAGGAUCUUCUCGAUAUAUUUCUCUUGCGACAAAAAUAACUUCUUAGCAUCCCUAUCUUGGGUAAUUCUAAUGCCAAGAAUCUGCUUUGCAGAGCCCAAAUCUUUCAUAGCAAAAGACUUGUUCAACUGCUUCUUCAAUAACUCAAUUCUUGAAGCAUUUUUGCCAACAAUCAGCAUAUCAUCAACAUAAAGCAAGAGAAUAAUAAAGUCAUAAUCAGAAAUUUUUUGGACAAACACACAGUUAUCCGAAGAAGUCUUCUUAUAGCCCUGUUCUGUCAUAACUGACGCAAAUUUCUUAUAUCACUGCCUCGGUGCUUGUUUUAGGCCAUAGAGACUUUUCUUCAAUUUGCACACAUAAUCCUCUUUCCCUUUCACUUUGAAACCCUCAGGUUGUUCCAUGUAUAUCUCUUCCUUCAAGUCACCAUGUAGAAAGGCUAUUUUAACAUCCAUUUGCUCAAUUUCCAAAUCUAGGUUGGCUACCAAGCCUAGUACCACACGGAUAGAAGACAUUUUCACUACCGGAGAAAAUAUAUCAUCAAAAUCAAUACAUUUCUUUGACCGAAUCCCUUAACAACUAAUCUAGCUUUGUACCGUGGUUGUAAAGUAUGUUCAUCUUGCUUCAACCUAUAUACCCACUUGUUCUUCAAAGCUCUUUUACCUUUAGGUAACUUUACCAACUCAAAAAUAUGAUUAUCAUAAAGUGAUUGCAUCUCAUCUCACAUAGCAUCGAACCAAUUACUUUUGUACUCAUCUUUUAGUGCUUCUACAUAGCACUCUAGUUCACCUACAACAGUCAAUAAUACAUACUCAUCUUCAGAAUACCUAGUGGAAGGUCGUCAGUCUCUAAUGGAUCUCCGGACUGGAACAUCUAGUGGAACAUCUAAUUGAGUCUCUGGUUUAGGAAUAGUAUUAUCUAUUUCAACAUGUUCAGGAACAUGUGCGUUAUUUGGAACAUUGACUUCUUGCUGCUCUUCAUCAACCUGUGUAGGAAUAUUUGUAAGAGGAACUGGAUCUAAAUCAACCAAAUUAUCACUAACCUGUGGUGCUGAAAUUAUCUUUGCUUUCUCAAUAUCCUCUAUCGUUUGAUCUUCCAUAAACACAACGUCUCUGCUUCUUACAAUUUUCUCUUCAACCGGAUCAUAAAAUUUGUAGCCAAGCAUAUACUAUCCAUAACCAAUAAAUAUGCACUGUCGUGUUAUCACAUCAAGUUUAGACUUCCCAUAUUUGGGAAUAUGCACAAAUGUUUUGCACCCAAAGACACACAAAUAAUCAUAAGAAACAUCUUUGCAUAUCCAAACUUUGUUAGGAACAUCAAACUCUAGAGGAACGCAUGGAGUAAGAUUUAACACAUGCACAACUGUACUUAAAGCCUCACCCCAAAAGGAUCCAGGUAGCUUUGACUAUGAAAAUAAGCAUCUUACCCUUUCAACCAGUGUUCUGUUCAUUCUCUCAGCUAAGCCAUUUAAUUGAGGCGUCUUGGGAGGUGUCUUUUGAUGUCGAAUACCUUGUUGUCUGCAAUAUUCAUCAAAAGGUCCAAUAUACUCUCCCCCGUUAUCAGUUCUAAUGCAUUUCAAUUUCUUUCCAGUUUGUCUCUCAAUUGAAGCCUGAAAUUGCUUAAAAGCAUCUAACACUUAAUUUUUAGUUUUCAAGUAAUAAAUCCAAAUUUUCCUUGAAAAAUCAUCUAUGAAGGUAACAAAAUAAAGAGAGCCACCAAGUGAUUUUGUUUUCAUAGGACUGCAAACAUCAUAAUGCACUAAAUCUAGUAUACCUGACUUUCUUGAAGGAGGGGAGCUUUUAAAUGCAACUCUGUUUUGUUUUCCUGCUAAACAGUGAGCACACUUCUUUAGCGCUGAACUUUUCAAUCGUAAAGGAGCUUCUUCUUGGCCAAUAUUGACAAACCCUUCUCACUGAUGUGACUGAGCCUCUUAUGCAAUAAUUCAGCUGCAUCUUCGCUAUCUACUGCCUUAAUUUUGUCUAUGGACAACUUUGCCUGCAUAAUGUACAACGAAAAAUAUUUUUCACCUUUAGCCACAACAAGAGAACCUUUGGUGAAUUUCCAUUGACCAUUUCUGAAUGUGCUGCAAUACCCCUCAUCAUCCAACUUGCCUGUAGAAAUCAAAUUCAAGCGAAUAUUAGGUAUAUGUUUUACAUUAUUUAAUACUAACCUUGUGUCAUUGCUAGUUUCUAGGCACACAUCACCAAUGCCUAUAGCUUGAGCUAAUCCAUUGUUUCCCAUCUUCACAAAUCCAAAGUCACAUGACCUGUAUGAUGUAAAGAAAUCCCUACGAGACGUAGCAUGAACGGAUGUGCCACUAUCAAUUAUCCAACUGGUCUCAUGAGAUACAAAAUUCACCAUAUCACCAUAAAAAAUAGUAAGAAAGUCUUCUUUAAGUGCAGCGACACGAUUGUCAUCAUUGUCAUUAUCACUUUUCUUCUCUUUACCUUUCUCCUUUUGUUUUGCCCUUUUUAACUGGCGACAAAACCUCUGAAUAUGUCCCUUCUAAUGACAAUAAUGGCACUCAACAUUAGCAAAUUUAUUAUACUUACCUCUGCUUUUAUCUCGACUUUUAUCUCUAUUUCUCGGAUCUCGAGACUCACUUCUUCCCCUUUUCUCAACAACCAAGACAUCAUAAUGUGAAGGUGACGAUCCUUGUGUCUUUCUUCUCAUCUCUUCAUUCAAAAUACUACUCUUGGCCAAAUCCAUGGUAAUCGUACCAUCUAGGGUAGAAUUAGACAAAGAUGUUCAGAAUGACUCCCAGGAGUCCGGCAAAGUACCAAGCAACCAUAGUGCUUGUAUCUCAUCAUCAAACUUGAUUCCCAUCAUAGCCAACUGAUUUAUAAUUCCUUGAAAAGAAUUUAAAUGAUCGGUCAAACGAAUACCAUCAUGAUAUCUCAGAGUCAUUAUCUGUUUUUAUAAAAAAUAACUUAUUAUUCCAAAUCUUUCGAGUAUAUAACUGUUCGAGCUUAUCCCUAAACUGCGUGCAUGUGUUUCCUCAAUAAUAUGGUUCAAAACAUUAUCAUCUACCACCACCCGCGAGGGUGGCUCCAUUGGUAGGCUCCAGGACCUCCAAGCUGGAGGCCGGAGUUCGAAGCCCCUGCAAUGCAAGUUGCAGGGAGACAGGUGGAGACACUUGGCGACUUACCCGGGGUGUGUGGGUGGUGGUUUCCUACGUGCCUCCCUAGGGGUUUACUCCCUGCUGUCAAUUGUGCGGGGUUCCCCUGGGUCACAAAAAAAAAAAAAACAUUAUCAUCUACCCAUUGCCUGAUAUAACCACGAUGAAAUAUAGACCAUUAAACAUAAGUUUUAUUCUUUGAUUUAUCAUCGGCAAAUACCAACAAAUAAAAAUCUUUCACAUAUAACAGAUUUUCCAUCUUCCCUUUCCAAAUAUGAUAAUUCGAACCAUUCAGUGUAACAAUUCUACUCGUAUUAGUUUCCAUGGUUUAACACAAGGCAUAAAAAUCAAGCAAUAACCUGAUGCUCCGAUACCACUAUGAUGGGAGAACGGUAACAAUUCGAACAAUAUCGAAUCAAUGCAGCGGAAGAAAAUAAUCUCCCAUCUUUUGUAAACCUAAUAGGAAUCGAUAUAGUAGAGUAAAAUAAAUACCAAGUAUGCGAACACAAGACGAUUUUUUACGUGGAAAACCUCCUCGAUGUGAGGAGAUAAAAAACCACGGGAUCGGAGUCCACCUGAAAAUCUUCACUAUCAACGGAGUCCACCCGAAAAUCUUCACUAUCAAUAAAAUUAUUCUUCUUUAGCAAAUACUAGAGGUACAUAGCAGCAAACACCUCAAGAACAUAAUUAUUGGCAAUACACAUGAACUUCACAGGUUUUGAUCAAUCCACGAAAAACUUGAUGUAGGGAGCUUCAAACAAUAAUCAAACCGUUCAGAUUCGAGAAAAUUGUGUGACGAACAUCCUGACAAAAUUUCAGCUCAAUCGGACCACGAAUUGACGUUCGAUGCCAGUUUACUGUAAAUCAGAUAUUGUCCAAAACCCCAGAUUUUCUGCUUUCUCUUUUUCUCUUGUUAUUGUUUCCUUUUUUGCGCCUACCUUUUUAUAUAGAUAGUGAUAAACCAUAUUUCCUCAUAUAACUUAUCAUAUGAGCUCAAGUCUUUUUUGGGCUUGCAAAUCAUUGGACUUCCUCCACAUAUGAGUGAACCCAGCUAACAGUUUUGAGGUGAAAAUCUCUAUUGCAAGGAUAGGAAUGUCUUGAUAUAUGGGAUUUGGGAUCCCCUUGUACCCAAUUGGUUUCAGAAGUUGUCUCGCCUGUUGUGAGAAUAUCAAGCAUUGACACUUUACUAGCCCACUGCUACACCCCACCUCAAAAGUGAAUUAAUACAAUCUCAAGCAAAAGUUAUUAAUGGUCCAAUGUAGAAAUAGUAAAUUGACCCAACUCAUUUUUUCUAAGAUCAUAAUAUACAGUAUUUUGUCAAGUCAUUAUGUUGCCCAUACCUUUGCAAAUACAAAAAUUUUCCUUAAAUAAAAAAGUUAAAAACUUGUAAACAAUCUAAGUUAUUAAUUUUUUUUUCCUGGUUCGCCAUCUAAUUUUGAUGAUGCUUCGAACUUUAUUAAUUAGAAAACAUCUUUGUGGCUUGUAAGAAAUCAUAUCUACCCAAAAUGUGAGUGCCAAGAACCUAACAGCCGCUGGGAGGGCCAUGACGGCUCCGGUAGAUAAAGAGCUCAAUAAUCCGGCAACUAAGCUGUGCACAUGGAACAAAGAAAGCACAAUCACGGUAGUCUAACUUUGUUAGGUUGUACACCCACUUGAUGUUCUGAACCGAUGAUGCCAAAUUGCAUUGAGUUAGCAGCAUGCAAUUGGGGCGACCCGUAGCGUCAGAGGUGUGCAUGAACAGAGCUACAUCCGAGGGAUCAUUGACAACUUUUGACGUUGAGCCGAGGCUCGGCUCUACGUCGGACAAAGAGAGAGAUUUUCGAAUCGGUGGAGUGAAGCUUGGCAGUUAGGUGGUGAAUGUUAAGCUUGGAAGCAGCAGAUUGAGCCCAUCGGUUUCCUUCUUGUGGUGUCAAUAAAAGCUUCGGUUCCGAGUCGAAAAGGUAGAACUCAAAACUCCUUAGCUGUGUAGAUGGCGUUGGGUGGAGCUGCAGUGGCUGCGCAACGGAUUACCGCCAGAAACAGGAUCACAAACUGCAAAACGAACACAUUUUCCAAUCAGCAAACCAUCACACUAGUCCCUGCGGAUUGGAGACACAUACAUAUGCAGAAUAUGCAGACAACUAGUCUGUCAACGUUCGAUUUCAUCAAAACCAUCCAUCUCCUUCUGAUAAGCUUUGACUUCGUUUUACGAUGAAUCGAUACUUGUACAUCCCGAAAAACGACCUUUGGACGCUACAGAAAACGCUCUACAUGCCCUUCCCAAGUCAAUUUGUUCCUAUUCAAUGGCACCAUGCGUGCACAGAAAUUUCUUGCCUCAAGAUUCUUUUUUCCUAUCUCGAGCUAUUUCCCAGUCGAUCUUUCAUAAGCAAUCGAUCUCAUCAUUAGAAAUUCAUCGUUACCGCUAUCUUCCAGAUAUUGCACUCUCGAAUUUAAACAGCAUCAUCAGGAAAUUUUCUACAUUUGAAUUCGCAUCAUUGCAAAAAUGGAAAACCUGCACCAUCGUACUUACGAGAAGACUCGAUGAUUGGGGCGACAUACAUUACCUGUGUUGGGGAAAGCGAGUGCAAUGACGUCGUGCAGCCGCACGUGCGUCAGGUUGAACUCCCCAUAGGCGGACACGGCUCUCCCGUCGGAGAAAUCCAACGCCGCCUUCUUCAACAGGUUCGUGAGCAUAAGUUCCCCCAUCGCUAAUCACGAAUUGAUGGGAAUCGUCUCCACCCGAAACCGAUCCCCAAUCGAACUGAAGAGGGGCACCACAACCGCUUGGCGAGAGGGAGAGCGAAGGAUCGACGAGAACAGGAAUUUGCACAAAUGAGAAUGGGGGAAACUGGAGCGUUCGACGACGGAGGAGGAGGAGGAGGUGGGUGGAGGGUUGCGUAUGCAUAUGGGAUGGAGACGAGACGAGAGGGAGGGAGCGAAGUUGGUACAAUCGAGGUGGCUCCGCAAAAAUAUCUCUCCCUCGUCUUCUUCUCCAUCUUGCUCUCCGAACCCCUGUCUCUCUCCCCACUCCAUAACCCACCUACCACUCCACCAAGUCCCACCCUGCACCUAUCCUCCCCUCCACCGAGUCCACCACCAACGCCCAUCCUCCCUCCCAUUCACAGUCUCCAAACCUUCUUCUCUCUGCCUCUUCCCUAAGUCCCAUCGCCACCUCCGAGAGGAGCAACGGUGGUCACGCGAGGAGCAGCAGCAGGCUUGCGAGAGGAAGUCCCUCCUUGUCGAGAUCGCCAGGCUGAAGCUUCGGAUUCAGGCCCUACGGCAUGGGAUUCAGAUUCCGGAAGGCGAUCUGGGGGAGGUGGCGAACGUGGUUGCACUGUUGCAGGUUUCGCAGGAAAGGAAUUUAAUCCCGGAGAGAGGGUUGAGCGCGAGUCUGAUGCUAUUGGAGGAGAGAGAGAAGGAAACUGCAGAGAAGAGAGAACCGUUAUUUUUAUUUUUCAAACCGAAAAUGCAUUAAAUUUCAUUUCAAUUCGGUUCUCACACCUCUACUAUAAACAGGUCCCCCAUCAUUGGUAAAUGAUUUUGAAAACAUUUGCAAGAAAGAACUAGAAUUUAGCUUUCCAUGUAGGAACAAUGGGGAUUGCCAUUGGACCACUCAAGAACACAAGCUAGUAUUGCUGGAAGCCCACAUGGGAAAGAACAGUAUGGGAAUGAGUCUCUACAAGGGAACCGGCAUGUCAAUUUGUACAACAGCUGAACUCUUUAGGGUCAAAGUUACGUGCACGAUCUCAGCCAUCGAAUAAAAGAAAAUUGAUGUCAACGAUUGGAUUUGGCAUGAUCAUUUUGUUCUGCCAAACCCCACUAUCCCAUAACUCACGCCAAAAAUAAUAAGUUAUGCCAUAUCAAUAUUUCACUAAUAGUGUGUAAGCUAUAGUUUUUCUACUAGGAAAAAGUGAAGAAAUCAGGGAACUUGAAAGUCGAGACAAUAGCAUACCUUGUUAGACUAGAAGAACAUGAAUCAAAUGAAAUUCAAAUUAAACUAUUCUUAAAAUAUAACCACCGUUGCAUUCUUCCACCAUUUUUAUUUAUUUAUUUAUUUUUAUUUAUUUUUAUUUUUUUGUUAGUGAAAACAAAAUUGAAGAAUUUAUCCAGAAACAAAUGCCUCCUAGUUUGAGAUAAUAACGAAAACCACAGCAUCAGAAAGGAUCAUCACCAAAGGAUUAAAAGCCAGUCCAAAGUUCGGGGCAAUGACGAUUCUUUCACAGAUUGUAUAAAUGCAAGGAUCAAUGGAGAUUCUGCCGCUCCAUUCUUUGCAUACACACAUGCAGAUCUCGCGUUCCUUCACAACAGAAUACACAUUCAAGACUCGAUUCUAUUCAUAUAGAACACUAUAACUUGAACCAGAGAGAUCAGCAAGCCAUGAGACAGCAAUUUUCAAGUCAUACGUCAACGAGCAUACAAGACGAGAAUCAUAACACCAUUUGACAUAUAAGCAUCCUAUUCCGACAAAGUCAGCCAUAACAAGGGUUCGAUAAGUUGAGAACAAAUCGAAUUUAUGUAAUAUAAUUUUGCAGUUCCAAGAUUAAAUUGAAUAUACAUACUGAUCUAGUUCGAGCAUUUCAUCAAAAAAGUAAUAUGCAUUUUGAUCAAGGAGCUCACACGCAAAUGUACAGCAACGGUUGACUUUCAGAUCAUCACGAAAAUAACUGUACAAGUUCGAGUUGCUAAUAGAGCUUCAAUCUCAACUGAUUUACUCACAGACAUUAGCUAAAUCUAACAGGCUCUGUUUCGUUCAUAAGCGGCAGAAACAGUGCUUGGAAUUUACCUUGAUGACAUUUAAGUUUUUUACCUCGGACGGUGAUCAAAUCAUUGACAAAGCUCCUGGUGGUGUCGAUGCCGAUGAUCGGGGCCGGCGAAAGCGGAACGACCAAGGUUCGUGAACUUGCGAGCGUCCUGACCAAAGAACAGAGCAGAACGAGAGUUGGCCUUGCUACAACAAAACCAGCAAUGGCGGAGCGGCUACAAGGGUGGCUAAUGGUGUCUGAAGGACGACGGAGAAGGAAAGCCGAUCAAGAAGCCUCAAGAAUCCCCGAGAAAGAGAGUUUCUUCGUCAGGUUCAGCGUAUGCGUUCUGUUGUGAUAUCGCUGUUGG
Molecule: long non-coding RNA, 32653 nt
Filed under: Eucalyptus grandis
Lineage: Eukaryota; Viridiplantae; Streptophyta; Magnoliopsida; Myrtales; Myrtaceae
Description: long non-coding RNA (EGRA_LNC004101)
Source: RNAcentral